AUACGGAGGGGGCUAGCGUUGUUCGGAAUUACUGGGCGUAAAGCGUACGUAGGCGGACUGAUCAGUUGGGGGUGAAAUCCCAGGGCUUAACCCUGGAACUGCCUUCAAUACUGUCAGUCUUGAGUUUGGGAGAGGUGAGUGGAAUUCCUAGUGUAGAGGUGAAAUUCAUAGAUAUUAGGAGGAACACCAGUGGCGAAGGCGGCUCACUGGCCCAUUACUGACGCUGAGGUACGAAAGCGUGGGGAGCAAACAGGAUUAGAUACCCUUGUAGUCC
This 274-nucleotide ribosomal RNA is filed under the name uncultured bacterium. RNAcentral describes it as "partial 16S ribosomal RNA". It matches the Rfam family "Bacterial small subunit ribosomal RNA", at positions 523 to 796 of the family's 1533-position model. The record is from RNAcentral.